CUUCGGCGCUCGGCGCCUACCCUCUCCUAGCCGCAGUGCUUGGCCCCCUAGCCUAGAUCAUAGCCGCAGUGUUCGGCCUACAAAUUAUCUUAACCUUACCAUGAAAUAAUUAAAUUUUGUAUUAAACUAACCCUGAAUGAAAGAACAUAAACUAGUAAAUUCAUGUUGAAUAUUAAAAGAUAUUUUAUUUGUAAAUUCAUAAUCUUCAAUUUCAGAUAAAAAUCACUUAAUAUGCUGAAGGAAAAGAUAAAAAUAGGUCUUAAGUACGCCCGAACAAUCUCAGCUUUUGAAGAUAUGAUUAAGCACAACGGAUUGAAAGCUGUAAUUUCAAGCUCUUCAAAUACAGUAGAUGUGAAUUGGUUAAAAAGAAUCAAAUGGAAUUUGCAAUUUCAAGUUACCCUCCAUUUGAAGAGUGGCAUGUGGGAUUUACAACUGCAGUACCCUUUUAAAAGCUUUAUAUGAUGAAGGAUAAAUAAGAUAUCUGCUUUUACCUCCUUGAAAAUUAAUUGGUUUUAAUUGCGAUUUUUCUACAAAAGUAACUUACGCACUUCUAAUACAGAAAUAAUUGAGAAAAUGAUCAGCAUUAAACCCUUCUCAACUCUCCAGUUAUAAAAACGAUUAUAUCUUUAAAACUUUUGCUAAGAUAAAGGGUUGAAUGGUUUUGUUGUGAAUCUCUACAUGGAGGGUCACUUUAAAUUACGACAGUUCCUUUAAAGAGUGUAUUUUUAUUUUGGAAUCAAAUUUGAAUCUCAAUUCAAUAUUUUCUUUUUCGGGAAUUCUUUAACCUCGAGAGCAUUUUUUAAAAACUAAUUUUAAUCUGUAGACAGUUAAAUCUUACGUUUAAGUUUCAGAAGUUAAAUCUAAGUACAAACCUUGAAACGUAAACUCUUUUUUUAAAUAAAUUUUCUAAAUUAGGUUCAUAUACUUAU
Eurytemora carolleeae is the source of this 929-nucleotide long non-coding RNA. RefSeq lists it as uncharacterized. The transcript is spliced from 3 exons. NCBI's taxonomy places the organism in Eukaryota, Metazoa, Arthropoda, Copepoda, Calanoida, Temoridae. The record is from RefSeq and is a predicted model, not a curated record.